Molecule: long non-coding RNA, 2845 nt
Filed under: Homo sapiens (human)
Lineage: Eukaryota; Metazoa; Chordata; Mammalia; Primates; Hominidae
Description: HSALNT0136086
Source: RNAcentral
AGCCCCACGUCACGCGGCCUGCUCCAGGCAGCUGUGCUCUUCUUCUUCCGUCUGUAACCAGCUCCAGUCUAGGGCCUGAAAGUCAACAGACAUGUUAAAAAAACAACAGCCACCAACACAUUUCAGGUUAUUUUUCCUCUUCAGGAGGAAAUCAGGACAAUUGAGAAAUAUACUAAAACCCAGCCAGGCACAGUGGCUCAUGCCUAUAAUCCCAACACUUUGGGAGGCCAAGGUGGGCAGAUCAUGAGGUCAGGAGUUCGAGACCAGCCUGGCCAAAAUGGUGAAACCCCAUUUCUACUAAAAAUACAAAAUUAGCCAGGCGUGGUGGCAAGCUCCUAUAGUCCCAGCUACUCAGGAGGCUGAGGCAGGAGAAUCACUUGAACCUGGGAGGUAGGGGUUGCAGUGAGCUGAGAUCGUGCCAUUGCACUCCACCCUGGGCAAAAGAGCAAGACUCCAUCUCAAAAAAUAAAAAAUAAAAAGAAAUAUAUUGAAACCCCUUUAUUGGCUGGGUAUGGUGGCUCAUGCCUAUAGUUCCAGCACUUUGGGAGGCAGAGGCGAGCGGAUCGCUUGAGGCCAGGAGUUCAAGACCAGCCUGGGCAACAUAGCAAGACCCAGGCUGCAUAAAACAAAUAAAUUAAACAAAUACAAAUUAAAAAGCCAAACCCUUUUAUUAAUAAAUCUUGUGACUGCAGGGUACUCUUAAGCUAAGUUACAUAUUCAAACUGUACAGGAUCUUUUCUUUGAAUUGGCUCAGAGUCCUUGAGAUUCUGUGACUGUGGGAAUUAGAAAGUCGACGUCAGUACCACUGUGGCUCACAGCACUCACUCCCAUGCUCACUGUGGGUAGCUAAUCUCAGUUAUGGAUUUCCAGCCUCACCACAUGACUUGGCCUGAUGAGACUUCCUCUUCCUCCCACAGACAUGCAAGUAAGCAAUGAACUGAUCAAAACAUUAUCAUGCCAGGAGGAGGAGAGCAGCAAGAGAUAUAGAAUGUCCACAGACUGGAGGAGGACAUGCGACUACAUCAGCAAAGGCUGCAAUUCACAGUGGUAUCCCUUGUAAUUCUUCCAAAAGCUUAAAGUUAGGGGAGGUUAGCAAGUGAUUAGCAGGUAAAGGCCAUGUAAAGAUCUAAGCAAAUGAUGCAGGAUUCUCUCAACAAUGGAAGCUUUGUCUUAAUGUACCUGUAACUUGGCUAGUUUUCUCAUAACUAGUACUACCUACCACUAAGCUCCAAGGCCCUGAGGACAAGGCCAUGGCUGGUUCCUGCUCCCAGCCCAGCACUCAACACACAAAUACUCAGCAGUAGUACCAAUGGUGCAGGUGGGGACAGGCUUCUGGGAACAAUGCUACCUUCUUCCUCAUCAUCGGAAUUAAGUGUUCCAAGGAUUAAAUAAGAUAAUGCAUACAUGUAGUUGUAAGCCUUCAAUAAUUGUUAGACAUCACUAUUAUUAUGAAUAAUAAAAAAUGUGUACUAGAAAAUUAUAAAUAUACACUGAAAAAAUCAGCUGAAUGUGGUGACGCACGCCUGUAGUCCCAGCUACUCAGGAGGCUGAGGCAUGAGAAUCACUUGAACCCGGGAAGCGGAGGUUGCAGUGAGCCAAGAUCAUGCCACUGCACUCCAGCCUGGGUGAGAGAGAGAGACCCUGUCACAAAUAAACAAGCAAACAAACAAACACUGAGGUUGAGGAUAAUGCCAGAUUGCAUUUCCAUUUUCUCUUCUAUUUUGCCAUAGAAAGAAAGGACAUGGAAUCGCAGGAGUCUCACACAAGCUGUUACCGUGAAACUCUGGUCUUGUUCCCUCACAGUGUCCUGUAUGGCAUUUUCUAGCAGGGUGCAGAGGUUAUGUGCUUCAGCCACCAGUUCUUCACUAAAGAAAAUGAUCAAAUUAUUAGAAAGUGGUCAUUAUUAGUUAUCAGAGCUAACACUGCUAUUUUAAAAUAUGCUAGAGAGUUUUGAUAAUACUUUUUAAAUGAAGUAACAAUUAUUUUGAUCCUGAGUGUCUUAAAACACCAACCCACUGACUAAUACUUUCAUUCAUCUUGUUAUGCACUUUCCACAUAUGAGCGUUACUGUCCAAAAUGCAAAAAAGCAAACAGAUCUCAAUAAAAGUCAGAAGCAAAAAAACCUCUUUCUGCUUUCUGACUUACUAGAUAGCUGAAUUUAAUUUUCAAACUGCCAAAAUCUAAAGAUAUUCUCCAAAUCACCUGUUUUCCAAUUUUUGAAGUAGACAAAAAAAAGGCCAAGGAAUUUAUCAGGAUUCACAGUUCCUUGGAAUCUGUUGAAAAUCAAGUUCUGGGAUUUGGUUUCAUCUAAUCUGAUCUCUCUCUUUUCUAUAAUAAGAAACCCAUGUUUCCUCUGAGGACUGGGCCACAGUGAAAAAGAGCAGCAUGUAGUAAAACAUCCGUCUUUUUCUAACCUCAGCUCUAUGCUGUGGGGAGACGAGAGACAUCCUAUAUACCCAGGUCCACCUUUCUAGACCUUUGAGGACAUCACUGAAGGGAAUAAGCCACAUAAAGGAAGACUGCCCUGGAACUCCUCUCACUCUGCAAAAUGUGACAAUCUGAUGGCAGGAGCUCAGAGCACAUUUCUGCCAAGCCUCAUCUAUGGGGCCUCUAGCUAGCCUAAAGGCUCAGUGCCUGCCCCAGAAGGGAAUGGAACAGGCUCCCGGUCUAGCUACUAUACUCCAGGAGCUCAUGAGAGGUUGGGGAAAUAAUUUUUAUUUAAAAAAAAAAAAAAAAAAAAAGGGCCGGGUGCGGUGGCUCACGCCUGUAAUCCCAGCACUUUGGGAGACCAAGGCGGGCGGAUCACCCAAGGUCGGGAGUUCGAGAUCAGCCUGACCAACAGGCU